Molecule: long non-coding RNA, 1051 nt
Organism: Leguminivora glycinivorella
Lineage: Eukaryota; Metazoa; Arthropoda; Insecta; Lepidoptera; Tortricidae
Exons: 2
Source: RefSeq, a predicted model, not a curated record
GACCCGGAGGUCAGCGCUGAUCUUCCGACGAGACCAUUUGCGAGACACGAACGCAGCCGCACGGUACGGCCCUACCGUAAGUUGAACGCGUCCUUACUGAAGGCGCCAUUUUGUCUAUUCCAUCAAUUGACAUUUGCAUGAUUUGCGUUACUUACAACAUGGCCAUACCGUACUGCACAAUAAUAAUAAAUUAUUACAUUACGCUAUGACAUAGAUAGUUCAACUAUAAAUAUUAGUGGUAAAUCAUUAAAUAAUGUAAACAAGUGAUAAAAAACAGUAAAAUAAAUAUUUGGUAUUAGAAAAUAAAUGAUUUGAAAACAACACAACGUAACAUGGAGACUUAUAAUUAUGUACAUCUAAUAGCUUUCCCGUUACCAAGGAGAAAGUUUAGGUAAAAAAAUUAAGUGGAGUGAUCAUAUCAAGUUUAUAUUAUGCACACUACGGAAGAUAUAAAGAGAACAAAACACGGCUUUAAAGACAAUUACAGGAUAGAAACAUAACCUCAAAUAUGAUACAGAAGAAACAGACUAAUCAAAACUAUGAAAGGACACGAACAUUUACAUUACAUUUGAUAGUGAGGAAAGGACAGAAAAACAGGUUCCUGAGGGGCGGAGGAAUGAUGUUCCAGCACUUGGUCGCAUUGUACUUGAAGCUGCCACGAAAAGCCGCAGUCGCAUGCCGAGGAGUUAUCAGCUGUAUACUACAAGUGCGUACUGCAAGAGACCUGCGAGUGGACAUCCAUGACAGCUUUUCGAAGAGAUAUAAAGGGGAUUUAUGUUUUACUAUGCCAAAAAGAAGACUGGCCAGAUGAAGUUUGCGACGGUGAAGCAUUUUAAGAAUAUUGUGCUUAUUCAAAAAUGGCGUGACAUGAGCUCUUGGUGGUACAUUGAAACAGAAGCGGGUACAGGCAUUCUGUACUCUUUGAAUAAGCCGUUUUGUUUUUGAUAGGAGCCGAGGGCCAUACACUAAAUCCAUGUAAUUUAAUUUAGACAGAACUAGUGUUUCAAUCAAUUGAAUGCGCAAGGUUUCGUUAAUAAAAGGCCGUAUGUUG